UUAAGCGACUAAGCGUACACGGUGGAUGCCCUGGCAGUCAGAGGCGAUGAAGGACGUGCUAAUCUGCGAUAAGCGUCGGUAAGGUGAUAUGAACCGUUAUAACCGGCGAUUUCCGAAUGGGGAAACCCAGUGUGUUUCGACACACUAUCAUUAACUGAAUCCAUAGGUUAAUGAGGCGAACCGGGGGAACUGAAACAUCUAAGUACCCCGAGGAAAAGAAAUCAACCGAGAUUCCCCCAGUAGCGGCGAGCGAACGGGGAGCAGCCCAGAGCCUGAAUCAGUGUGUGUGUUAGUGGAAGCGUCUGGAAAGGCGUGCGAUACAGGGUGACAGCCCCGUACACAAAAAUGCACAUGCUGUGAGCUCGAUGAGUAGGGCGGGACACGUGGUAUCCUGUCUGAAUAUGGGGGGACCAUCCUCCAAGGCUAAAUACUCCUGACUGACCGAUAGUGAACCAGUACCGUGAGGGAAAGGCGAAAAGAACCCCGGCGAGGGGAGUGAAAAAGAACCUGAAACCGUGUACGUACAAGCAGUGGGAGCACGCUUAGGCGUGUGACUGCGUACCUUUUGUAUAAUGGGUCAGCGACUUAUAUUCUGUAGCAAGGUUAACCGAAUAGGGGAGCCGAAGGGAAACCGAGUCUUAACUGGGCGUUAAGUUGCAGGGUAUAGACCCGAAACCCGGUGAUCUAGCCAUGGGCAGGUUGAAGGUUGGGUAACACUAACUGGAGGACCGAACCGACUAAUGUUGAAAAAUUAGCGGAUGACUUGUGGCUGGGGGUGAAAGGCCAAUCAAACCGGGAGAUAGCUGGUUCUCCCCGAAAGCUAUUUAGGUAGCGCCUCGUGAAUUCAUCUCCGGGGGUAGAGCACUGUUUCGGCAAGGGGGUCAUCCCGACUUACCAACCCGAUGCAAACUGCGAAUACCGGAGAAUGUUAUCACGGGAGACACACGGCGGGUGCUAACGUCCGUCGUGAAGAGGGAAACAACCCAGACCGCCAGCUAAGGUCCCAAAGUCAUGGUUAAGUGGGAAACGAUGUGGGAAGGCCCAGACAGCCAGGAUGUUGGCUUAGAAGCAGCCAUCAUUUAAAGAAAGCGUAAUAGCUCACUGGUCGAGUCGGCCUGCGCGGAAGAUGUAACGGGGCUAAACCAUGCACCGAAGCUGCGGCAGCGACACUAUGUGUUGUUGGGUAGGGGAGCGUUCUGUAAGCCUGUGAAGGUGUACUGUGAGGUAUGCUGGAGGUAUCAGAAGUGCGAAUGCUGACAUAAGUAACGAUAAAGCGGGUGAAAAGCCCGCUCGCCGGAAGACCAAGGGUUCCUGUCCAACGUUAAUCGGGGCAGGGUGAGUCGACCCCUAAGGCGAGGCCGAAAGGCGUAGUCGAUGGGAAACAGGUUAAUAUUCCUGUACUUGGUGUUACUGCGAAGGGGGGACGGAGAAGGCUAUGUUGGCCGGGCGACGGUUGUCCCGGUUUAAGCGUGUAGGCUGGUUUUCCAGGCAAAUCCGGAAAAUCAAGGCUGAGGCGUGAUGACGAGGCACUACGGUGCUGAAGCAACAAAUGCCCUGCUUCCAGGAAAAGCCUCUAAGCAUCAGGUAACAUCAAAUCGUACCCCAAACCGACACAGGUGGUCAGGUAGAGAAUACCAAGGCGCUUGAGAGAACUCGGGUGAAGGAACUAGGCAAAAUGGUGCCGUAACUUCGGGAGAAGGCACGCUGAUAUGUAGGUGAAGUCCCUCGCGGAUGGAGCUGAAAUCAGUCGAAGAUACCAGCUGGCUGCAACUGUUUAUUAAAAACACAGCACUGUGCAAACACGAAAGUGGACGUAUACGGUGUGACGCCUGCCCGGUGCCGGAAGGUUAAUUGAUGGGGUUAGCCGCAAGGCGAAGCUCUUGAUCGAAGCCCCGGUAAACGGCGGCCGUAACUAUAACGGUCCUAAGGUAGCGAAAUUCCUUGUCGGGUAAGUUCCGACCUGCACGAAUGGCGUAAUGAUGGCCAGGCUGUCUCCACCCGAGACUCAGUGAAAUUGAACUCGCUGUGAAGAUGCAGUGUACCCGCGGCAAGACGGAAAGACCCCGUGAACCUUUACUAUAGCUUGACACUGAACAUUGAGCCUUGAUGUGUAGGAUAGGUGGGAGGCUUUGAAGUGUGGACGCCAGUCUGCAUGGAGCCGACCUUGAAAUACCACCCUUUAAUGUUUGAUGUUCUAACGUUGACCCGUAAUCCGGGUUGCGGACAGUGUCUGGUGGGUAGUUUGACUGGGGCGGUCUCCUCCUAAAGAGUAACGGAGGAGCACGAAGGUUGGCUAAUCCUGGUCGGACAUCAGGAGGUUAGUGCAAUGGCAUAAGCCAGCUUGACUGCGAGCGUGACGGCGCGAGCAGGUGCGAAAGCAGGUCAUAGUGAUCCGGUGGUUCUGAAUGGAAGGGCCAUCGCUCAACGGAUAAAAGGUACUCCGGGGAUAACAGGCUGAUACCGCCCAAGAGUUCAUAUCGACGGCGGUGUUUGGCACCUCGAUGUCGGCUCAUCACAUCCUGGGGCUGAAGUAGGUCCCAAGGGUAUGGCUGUUCGCCAUUUAAAGUGGUACGCGAGCUGGGUUUAGAACGUCGUGAGACAGUUCGGUCCCUAUCUGCCGUGGGCGCUGGAGAACUGAGGGGGGCUGCUCCUAGUACGAGAGGACCGGAGUGGACGCAUCACUGGUGUUCGGGUUGUCAUGCCAAUGGCACUGCCCGGUAGCUAAAUGCGGAAGAGAUAAGUGCUGAAAGCAUCUAAGCACGAAACUUGCCCCGAGAUGAGUUCUCCCUGACUCCUUGAGAGUCCUGAAGGAACGUUGAAGACGACGACGUUGAUAGGCCGGGUGUGUAAGCGCAGCGAUGCGUUGAGCUAACCGGUACUAAUGAACCGUGAGGCUUAACCUU
This 2903-nucleotide ribosomal RNA is filed under the name Escherichia coli. Its description in RNAcentral is "bacterial LSU rRNA". It matches the Rfam family "Bacterial large subunit ribosomal RNA". Lineage: Bacteria; Pseudomonadati; Pseudomonadota; Gammaproteobacteria; Enterobacterales; Enterobacteriaceae. The record is from RNAcentral.